GAUGAACGCUGGCGGCGUGCCUAAUACAUGCAAGUCGAGCGAACGGACGAUAAGCUUGCUUCUCUGAUGUUAGCGGCGGACGGGUGAGUAACACGUGGAUAACCUACCUAUAAGACUGGGAUAACUUCGGGAAACCGGAGCUAAUACCGGAUAAUAUUUUGAACCGCAUGGUUCAAAAGUGAAAGACGGUCUUGCUGUCACUUAUAGAUGGAUCCGCGCUGCAUUAGCUAGUUGGUAAGGUAACGGCUUACCAAGGCAACGAUGCAUAGCCGACCUGAGAGGGUGAUCGGCCACCCUGGAGCUGAGACACGGUCCAGACUCCUACGGGAGGCAGCAGUAGGGAAUCUUCCGCAAUAGGCGAAAGCCUGACGGAGCAACGCCGCGUGAGUGAUGAAGGUCUUCGGAUCGUAAAACUCUGUUAUUAGGGAAGAACAUAUGUGUAAGUAACUGUGCACAUCUUGACGGUACCUAAUCAGAAAGCCACGGCUAACUACGUG
This 497-nucleotide ribosomal RNA is filed under the name uncultured bacterium. Its description in RNAcentral is "partial 16S ribosomal RNA". It matches the Rfam family "Bacterial small subunit ribosomal RNA", at positions 28 to 507 of the family's 1533-position model. The record is from RNAcentral.